This 371-nucleotide long non-coding RNA is filed under the name Salmo salar (Atlantic salmon). Its description in RNAcentral is "lncRNA (ENSSSAG00000089025.1)". The record is from RNAcentral. Lineage: Eukaryota; Metazoa; Chordata; Actinopteri; Salmoniformes; Salmonidae.
GGGAGGUAUAGAUAUAGAGCUGUUAUAUUAUCUAUGAGGGGAGGUAUAGAUAUAGAGCUGUUAUAUUAUCUAUGAGGGGAGAUAUAGAUAUAGAGCUGUUAUAUUAUCUAUGAGGGGAGGUAUAGAUAUAGAGCUGUUAUAUUAUCUAUGAUGGGAGGUAUAGAUAUAGAUAUAGAGCUGUUAUAUUAUCUAUGAGGGGAGAUAUAGAUAUAGAUAUAGAGCUGUUAUAUUAUCUAUGAGGGGAGGUAUAGAUAUAGAUAUAGAGCUGUUAUAUUAUCUAUGAGGGGAGGUAUAGAUAUAGAGCUGUUAUAUUAUCUAUGACGGGAGGUAUAGAUAUAGAUAUAGAGCUGUUAUAUUAUCUAUGACGGGAG